GUAAUUCUUGAAACAUAGAUAUAUCUAAUUAAAUAAAUUAGAACUAUUAUUAGUCAUGCUGCUGGAAGCUGUGUUGCCAUCGAGCAGGCUAUUUGUGGUUUGACUGAGUUCUUGAUUAUUGUUUUAGACGAAAAGUCAAAUCUUCUCUCCGUUGAGAUGCCUGUAAAUGAUAUUGGAUCACUUUCACCCAUGGAAAAUAAAUCUACCUAAUUUGUCGUAGAGGCUCUUCGUAGUUUACCUUUAAAUGGUCAUGUUCAGUCACUAAAUAUGAUUGGAGAUUCGUUUAAGCUAUUAACGAUGAUCAUAAACAAAAGAUAGUUGAUCAUGGCAAUGGCAAAAGAACUUUAUUCGUACAUCAUUUGAAGGAGUGGAUUGAUGAAACUUCUUCUAAUGUUGAUAAAUUAAUGUCUGCUGCAUUUCCACAUGUAUGUAUUAUCAUCCUCCCUAUUAUUUGUUUAUUUUGUUGUUUUCUUCGAAGUUUCGUUGGUAAUGGGAUCCAUUAUUAAUCCUCUCAUCUGUGACAAUAAAGUGGUUCAUUGUCAUUUUCAGCUUUGUAUUCAUUCUGUAGAAAAGGUCAGAAAAACACUUGUAGAUGGCAUACAGGGGCUUCUGUUGAAUUGUAGAUGCACUUUGCAAAGAAGCAAAUUAAUGCUUUUGGAGUGUGUGUGUGCUGGUUUGUGACGAUGCAGAUGUUGUGUCCAUGGUAUCUCAGUAAUCCCUUGAAUCUUUAUUUGUUUUGGUGAAUCUUACUUUUUCAAGUUAUUGGCAUCCUCAUCAAAGCACUUCCAUGUGUGGUUCUUGCAAGUGAUGAGACAAUUGCUUUGUCACAUGCUCAGAAACUACUUUCUCUAGUCUAUUAUGCAGGUCCGGACCUUUUAGUAAAUUACCUUCAGUCUCCUCAGCCGAAGAAAGAACCGGAUGAUCUUGAGGGCAUAGCGGAUGCAGCGCCGGAUGCCUUGCCAAAGGUGAAGGCGAACAAGAAGGAGAAGAAGCGGAAGCGCAAGGAUAAGGACUCUUCUGAUGCAGUGGAGGGGUUCAGUGUGUUCAAGAGUUCCGAGUCUUUGUCCUCUAUUCUAGAAAGAAAUGCUUUGGAGGUUACUUCUGCUGAGAUGAAGAAGGAUGUGGAAAAGGAGAUUGAGAAAGCUUCUAUUCUGCGUAAGAAGUAUGGAAUUCACAUUUCAAGACAUGUUGUUCCUCCCCCGCUUGAGAGUUUUGGAGAGCUAAGCUCAAGGUGAGAUCCCAUAUAUGGAGAAUCCUUGUUUAGAGAUCAACUUGCAGCACACUGUUGCUUGGCUUUUGGCACAAAUUUUUUGAUGGUACAUGCUGAACGUUCUCAUGCUGGCCUAUGUAGUGGCAUCAGUGCAUAGCAUAUUCUGUAUGCACUCAUGCACCUGAGCAGCCCAGCCAGUAUGCACAUGUUACUGGCUGAAUUCAAAUCCUUAGUUUAUAUUAUCUCAAUAUCAUAAUACAUGUUCAGACCUUGAGCUGAUCGCAUGUGGCAAGCUAUGUGGUGUCCUAUAUUUGUGCAAUGCAGG
Musa acuminata subsp. malaccensis (wild Malaysian banana) is the source of this 1535-nucleotide non-coding RNA. The record is from RefSeq and is a predicted model, not a curated record. Lineage: Eukaryota; Viridiplantae; Streptophyta; Magnoliopsida; Zingiberales; Musaceae.